GACGAACGCUGGCGGCGUGCCUAACACAUGCAAGUCGAACGGGGCUAGAUUGGUAGCAAUACCGGUAUAGCCUAGUGGCGGACGGGUGAGUAACGCGUGAGCAACCUGCCUUUCAGAGGGGGACAACAGCUGGAAACGGCUGCUAAUACCGCAUAACGUAUAAUGGCCGCAUGGACAUUAUACCAAAGAUUUUAUCGCUGAAAGAUGGGCUCGCGUCUGAUUAGCUAGUUGGUGGGGUAACGGCUCACCAAGGCUGCGAUCAGUAGCCGGACUGAGAGGUUGAACGGCCACAUUGGGACUGAGAUACGGCCCAGACUCCUACGGGAGGCAGCAGUGGGGAAUAUUGGUCAAUGGGGGGAACCCUGAACCAGCAACGCCGCGUGAAGGAAGAAGGCUUUCGGGUUGUAAACUUCUUUGACAGGGGACGAAAGAAAUGACGGUACCCUGAAAACAAGCCACGGCUAACUACGUG
This 472-nucleotide ribosomal RNA is filed under the name uncultured bacterium. RNAcentral's name for it is "bacterial SSU rRNA". It matches the Rfam family "Bacterial small subunit ribosomal RNA", at positions 28 to 507 of the family's 1533-position model. The record is from RNAcentral.